Molecule: ribosomal RNA, 620 nt
Filed under: bacterium
Lineage: Bacteria
Also listed under: 1 other name
Description: bacterial SSU rRNA
Rfam family: Bacterial small subunit ribosomal RNA
Source: RNAcentral
UGCUUUUUAGAGACCGGCGCACGGGUGAGUAACGCGUAUGCAACCUACCUUUUACAGGGGAAUAGCCCGAAGAAAUUCGGAUUAAUGCUCCAUGGUUUAUUUGGAUGGCAUCAUUUGAAUAAUAAAGAUUUAUCGGUAAAAGAUGGGCAUGCGUGUCAUUAGCUAGUUGGUAUGGUAACGGCAUACCAAGGCAACGAUGACUAGGGGUCCUGAGAGGGAGAUCCCCCACACUGGUACUGAGACACGGACCAGACUCCUACGGGAGGCAGCAGUGAGGAAUAUUGGUCAAUGGAGGCAACUCUGAACCAGCCAUGCCGCGUGCAGGAUGACGGUCCUAUGGAUUGUAAACUGCUUUUGUACGGGAAGAAAUGUGCCUACGAGUAGGUAUUUGACGGUACCGUAAGAAUAAGGAUCGGCUAACUCCGUGCCAGCAGCCGCGGUAAUACGGAGGAUCCGAGCGUUAUCCGGAAUUAUUGGGUUUAAAGGGUUCGUAGGCGGUCAGAUAAGUCAGUGGUGAAAUCUCAUAGCUUAACUAUGAAACUGCCGUUGAUACUGUUUGACUUGAAUAGUAUGGAAGUAACUAGAAUAUGUAGUGUAGCGGUGAAAUGCUUAGAUAUUAC